This 264-nucleotide small RNA is filed under the name Panthera pardus (leopard). RNAcentral's name for it is "7SK RNA (ENSPPRG00000015661.1)". The stretch from base 1 to 200 matches the Rfam family "7SK RNA". From Rfam's summary of the family: 7SK was discovered as an abundant small nuclear RNA in the mid-70s but a possible function has only recently been suggested. Two independent studies have found that 7SK RNA binds the CDK9/cyclin T complex (known as elongation factor P-TEFb). P-TEFb activates transcription by phosphorylating the C-terminal domain of RNA polymerase II. The record is from RNAcentral. Lineage: Eukaryota; Metazoa; Chordata; Mammalia; Carnivora; Felidae.
GGACGUGAGGGUGAUCUGGCUGCGACGUCCAUCACCCCAUUGAUCGCCAGGGCUGAUUUGGCUGAUCUGGCUGGCUAGGCAGGUGUCCCCUUCCUCCCUCACCCCUCCGUGCGUGUCCCUCUGGAAGCUGCGCGCUAGGUCGAACCGGACGACCUUCCCUGAUAGAGGAGGACAGUUCUUCGGUCAAGGGUAUACGAGUUAGAACCUCCAAGGGUAUACGAGUUAGAACAUCCAACCUCCUGGAUGCAGGGCCAGAGGUACGGA